RNAcentral lists this ribosomal RNA (253 nucleotides) under uncultured bacterium. RNAcentral's name for it is "partial 16S ribosomal RNA". It matches the Rfam family "Bacterial small subunit ribosomal RNA", at positions 524 to 776 of the family's 1533-position model. The record is from RNAcentral.
UACGUAGGGGGCAAGCGUUGUCCGGAUUUAUUGGGCGUAAAGAGCGUGUAGGCGGCUAGGUAGGUCCGUUGUGAAAACUCGAGGCUCAACCUCGAGACGUCGGUGGAAACCAUCUAGCUAGAGUCCGGAAGAGGAGAGUGGAAUUCCUGGUGUAGCGGUGAAAUGCGCAGAUAUCAGGAAGAACACCCGUGGCGAAGGCGGCUCUCUGGUACGUGACUGACGCUGAGACGCGAAAGCGUGGGGAGCGAACAGG